GAACGAGUUCUCGUUGAUGAUCGGUGCUUGCACCGAGAUUCAACAUGGAACGAGUGGCGGACGGGUGAGUAACACGUGGGUAACCUGCCCUUAAGUGGGGGAUAACAUUUGGAAACAGAUGCUAAUACCGCAUAGAUCCAAGAACCGCAUGGUUCUUGGCUGAAAGAUGGCGUAAGCUAUCGCUUUUGGAUGGACCCGCGGCGUAUUAGCUAGUUGGUGAGGUAAUGGCUCACCAAGGCGAUGAUACGUAGCCGAACUGAGAGGUUGAUCGGCCACAUUGGGACUGAGACACGGCCCAAACUCCUACGGGAGGCAGCAGUAGGGAAUCUUCCACAAUGGACGCAAGUCUGAUGGAGCAACGCCGCGUGAGUGAAGAAGGCUUUCGGGUCGUAAAACUCUGUUGUUGGAGAAGAAUGGUCGGCAGAGUAACUGUUGUCGGCGUGACGGUAUCCAACCAGAAAGCCACGGCUAACUACGUGCCAGCAGCCGCGGUAAUACGUGGGUGGCAAGCGUUAUCCGGAUUUAUUGGGCGUAAAGCGAGCGCAGGCGGUUUUUUAAGUCUGAUGUGAAAGCCCUCGGCUUAACCGAGGAAGCGCAUCGGAAACUGGGAAACUUGAGUGCAGAAGAGGACAGUGGAACUCCAUGUGUAGCGGUGAAAUGCGUAGAUAUAUGGAAGAACACCAGUGGCGAAGGCGGCUGUCUGGUCUGUAACUGACGCUGAGGCUCGAAAGCAUGGGUAGCGAACAGGAUUAGAUACCCUGGUAGUCCAUGCCGUAAACGAUGAAUGCUAGGUGUUGGAGGGUUUCCGCCCUUCAGUGCCGCAGCUAACGCAUUAAGCAUUCCGCCUGGGGAGUACGACCGCAAGGUUGAAAC
RNAcentral lists this ribosomal RNA (873 nucleotides) under uncultured bacterium. RNAcentral describes it as "bacterial SSU rRNA". It matches the Rfam family "Bacterial small subunit ribosomal RNA", at positions 64 to 900 of the family's 1533-position model. The record is from RNAcentral.